UGGGGAAUUUUGGACAAUGGGCGAAAGCCUGAUCCAGCAAUGCCGCGUGUGUGAAGAAGGCCUUCGGGUUGUAAAGCACUUUUGUCCGGAAAGAAAUCCUUGGCUCUAAUACAGUCGGGGGGAUUGACCGGUACCGGAAGAAUAAGCACCGGCUAACUACGUGCCAGCAGCCGCGGUAAUACGUAGGGUGCAAGCGUUAAUCGGAAUUACUGGGCGUAAAGCGUGCGCAGGCGGUUUGCUAAGACCGAUGUGAAAUCCCCGGGCUCAACCUGGGAACUGCAUUGGUGACUGGCAGGCUAGAGUAUGGCAGAGGGGGGUAGAAAUUCCACGUGUAGCAGUGAAAAUGCGUAGAGAUGUGGAGGAAUACCGAUGGCGAAGGCAGCCCCCUGGGCCAAUACUGACGCUCAUGCACGAAAAGCGUGGGGAGCAAAACAGGAUUAGAUACCCUGGUAGUCCACGCCCUAAAACGAUGUCAACUAGUUGUUGGGGAUUCA
Molecule: ribosomal RNA, 494 nt
Filed under: uncultured bacterium
Lineage: Bacteria
Description: partial 16S ribosomal RNA
Rfam family: Bacterial small subunit ribosomal RNA
Source: RNAcentral